AGAAUCAACGCUGGCGGCGUGCCUCAGACAUGCAAGUCGAACGAUUAAAGCUCUCUUCGGAGAGUGUAUAGAGUGGCGCACGGGUGAGUAACACGUAAGUAAUCUACCUUUGAGUGGGGAAUAACAGUCGGAAACGACUGCUAAUACCGCAUAAUGCAGCGGCAUCGCAAGAUGACAGGUUAGUUAAAGGAGCAAUCCGACUUAAAGAGGAGCUUGCGGCAGAUUAGCUAGUUGGUAAGGUAAUGGCUUACCAAGGCUACGAUCUGUAACCGGUCUAAGAGGACGGUCGGUCACACUGACACUGAAUAACGGGUCAGACUCCUACGGGAGGCAGCAGUCGGGUAAGUUUGGGCAAGUGGGACGAAAGCCUGACCCAGCCGAACGCCGCGGUAGAAGGAUAG
Molecule: ribosomal RNA, 401 nt
Filed under: uncultured soil bacterium
Lineage: Bacteria
Description: bacterial SSU rRNA
Rfam family: Bacterial small subunit ribosomal RNA
Source: RNAcentral